CCUGUUAANUCAGCGGUGAAAUCUAGGAGCUUAACUCCUAAAUUGCCAUUGAUACUGGCGGGCUUGAGUGUAGAUGAGGUAGGCGGAAUGCGUGGUGUAGCUGUGGAAUGCAUAGAUAUCACGCAGAACUCCGAUUGCGAAGGCAGCUUACUAAGGUACAACUGACGCUGAAGCACGAAAGCGUGGGUAUCAAACAGGAUUAGAUACCCUGGUAGUCCACGCAGUAAACGAUGAUAACUGGGCGUAUGCGAUAUACAGUAUGCUCCUAAGCGAAAGCGUUAAGUUAUCCACCUGGGGAGUACGCCGGCAACGGUGAAACUCAAAGGAAUUGACGGGGGCCCGCACAAGCGGAGGAACAUGUGGUUUAAUUCGAUGAUACGCGAGGAACCUUACCCGGGAUUGAAAUGUAGAUGACGGCCGGUGAAAGUCGGCUUUCCUUCGGGACAUCUAUGUAGGUGCUGCAUGGUUGUCGUCAGCUCGUGCCGUGAGGUGUCGGCUUAAGUGCCAUAACGAGCGCAACCCCUGUCUACGGUUGCCAUCAGGUAAUGCUGGGAACUCCGUAGAGACUGCCGUCGUAAGGCGUGAGGAAGGUGGGGAUGACGUCAAAUCAGCACGGCCCUUACAUCCGGGGCGACACACGUGUUACAAUGGUAAGGACAAAGGGCAGCUACCUGGCGACAGGAUGCGAAUCUCAAAACCUUAUCACAGUUCGGAUCGGAGUCUGCAACUCGACUCCGUGAAGCUGGAUUCGCUAGUAAUCGCGCAUCAGCCAUGGCGCGGUGAAUACGUUCCCGGGCCUUGUACACACCGCCCGUCAAGCCAUGGGAGUCUGGAGU
RNAcentral lists this ribosomal RNA (836 nucleotides) under uncultured bacterium. Its description in RNAcentral is "bacterial SSU rRNA". It matches the Rfam family "Bacterial small subunit ribosomal RNA", at positions 579 to 1418 of the family's 1533-position model. The record is from RNAcentral.